AUGAAUGUGGUGCAGGGACCACAUGUGACAUUCCAGCAGAAGGACUGGUUCCUGUUGCACGAUCACUUGGAGGGUGUGCAUGACUACAAGAAACAAUGGCCAAACGCGGCUCCUGAAGAACUGGAAGGGACAAAACAGGAGAUCUACUGUGCAUGUCGGGAUAGCGAACAGAAGAAGGUGAUAAUGGAUGAGUCGGCGAAUCGGCGGGAUAAGUGGACCAGUGAUCAUUCGCUACAUGUUGUUCUUUGGCUUGUUGCCACUUGGACACUGAGAUGGAGGUGGAGCAAUGUACCUGGGUGUACGCAUAGGAAAACUUGUCAAAGCUGGAGCAGGAGUCGAAUGCCUAUCUCCCACAGAAAAAUUGAGAUGGUGUGUGGGGCUAUAACGCUAAUAAUGGGUUUGUUCUUCAACACAAGCUCCGAAUGCACCAUCUCCCACCAGCUUGGCCAUCUGUGUUGA
This 459-nucleotide ribosomal RNA is filed under the name Triticum aestivum (bread wheat). RNAcentral's name for it is "partial small subunit ribosomal RNA". The record is from RNAcentral. Lineage: Eukaryota; Viridiplantae; Streptophyta; Magnoliopsida; Poales; Poaceae.